GUGGAUUGAUAGUCCUUUUAGUGUAGGGAGCGGCGAACGGCUGAGUAACACGUUGGUACCUACCCCAGACUCAGGGAUAACCUCGGGAAACCGAGACUAAUACCGGAUGCCCCCGCAAGGGGAAAGCUUUUUGCGGUCUGGGAGGGGCCUACGGCCUAUCAGGUAGUUGGUAAGGUAACGCCUUACCAAGCCUAUGACGGGUAGCUGGUCUGAGAGGACGACC
RNAcentral lists this ribosomal RNA (223 nucleotides) under uncultured bacterium. RNAcentral's name for it is "partial 16S ribosomal RNA". It matches the Rfam family "Bacterial small subunit ribosomal RNA", at positions 68 to 305 of the family's 1533-position model. The record is from RNAcentral.